This 74-nucleotide transfer RNA is filed under the name Micromonosporaceae bacterium. It matches the Rfam family "tRNA". Rfam says of the family: Transfer RNA (tRNA) molecules are approximately 80 nucleotides in length. Lineage: Bacteria; Bacillati; Actinomycetota; Actinomycetes; Micromonosporales; Micromonosporaceae. RNAcentral also lists the same sequence under 1 other name. The record is from Rfam by way of RNAcentral.
GCCGCCUUAGCUCAGUCGGUCAGAGCGGUGCUCUCGUAAAGCACAGGUCGUCGGUUCGAUUCCGACAGGCGGCU